RNAcentral lists this long non-coding RNA (595 nucleotides) under Mytilus galloprovincialis (Mediterranean mussel). Lineage: Eukaryota; Metazoa; Mollusca; Bivalvia; Mytilida; Mytilidae. The record is from RNAcentral.
AACCACUGUUCCAUGAAAAAAGCAAUACAGGAAUGUUAAUUAUAUGAAAAAUAAUUUUGUAAUAAUGGCACACACUAACUGUUGAUAGCUAGUAAAAUAAACAGUUUGCCCUUACAAUUACAUUAAUCAUUAACUCUUAUUCUUGAAUAAUAUCUCCUUGUUAUCAUUUGUCUGACCAAUACAGACCCCAAGGGUGACUGGGGUAUAGAAAUAUGGUCACUUGGUCUUCUCCCGACCGGCAGUAAAACGCUUGCCGAAGUGGGGCGUCCGUUUGGCUGUGCGGGAUGUAUCAAGUUCGCAGUCACGUCCGGUCAGAAGGGGGACGUUAAAUCCGAUGCCCCGUGUACAGAGAGUGCCACGCUCUUUGCACGUUAAGAACCCUUGCAACAACUCUUUGAGGGGUCCGUAGGUGGCCUGUUGCAAGGCAAAAUUUCUGUCCCUAUCCAAUAUACCCUCAUUUUUCAGUGGCAGUCCAAAUUUCCCCGACCAUCAUCCCAGAUGGCCUCUAUUGUAUCAACCUACCUAUUGUAUUUAUUGUGAACUUGUUCUCGUCCUGAAUAUGCAUGAAAUAUUUGCCACUGGACGUUAAGCAACC